GCUUGGCAUAAUCUCAGCUGGCAACUGUGAGUUUGUGAUAAAGUCUCGCAGGUGCUGCUGGGAUUGCGCCGAGC
Molecule: microRNA precursor, 74 nt
Organism: Astyanax mexicanus (Mexican tetra)
Lineage: Eukaryota; Metazoa; Chordata; Actinopteri; Characiformes; Acestrorhamphidae
Rfam family: mir-216 microRNA precursor family
Source: Rfam